Molecule: ribosomal RNA, 757 nt
Filed under: uncultured archaeon
Lineage: Archaea
Description: bacterial SSU rRNA
Rfam family: Archaeal small subunit ribosomal RNA
Source: RNAcentral
GGAUAAUCUGCCCUUAGGCGGAGGAUAAUCUCGGGAAACUGAGAAUAAUACUCCAUAGGCCUAGGAUGCUGGAAUGCAUCUAGGCUGAAAAUUCCGGUGCCUAAGGAUGAGUCUGCGGACUAUCAGGUUGUAGUCAGGGUAAUGACCUGACUAGCCUACGACGGAUAUGGGUUGUGAGAGCAAUAACCCAGAGAUGAUAUCUGAGACACGAUAUCAGGCCCUACGGGGCGCAGCAGGCGCGAAAACUUCACACUGUGCGAAAGCACGAUGAGGGAAUCCCAAGUGCUUGCACGUAAGUGUAAGCUGUUUUUAUGUUUAAAACGCAUAGAGAGUAAGGGCUGGGUAAGACGGGUGCCAGCCGCCGCGGUAAUACCUGCGGCUCUAGUGGUGGCCGCUAUUAUUGGGCCUAAAGCGUUCGUAGCCGGUCGGGUAAAUGCUUGGGUAAAUCGCGUGGCUCAACCAUGCGAAUUCCUAGUAGACUGCCCGACUAGGGACCGGGAGAAGUUGGAAGAAUUCCAGGGGUAGGGGUGAAAUCCCGUAAUCCUUGGAGAACUACCGGUAGCGAAGGCGUCCGACUAGAACGGGUCCGACGGUGAGGGACGAAGCCCUGGGGAGCGAACCGGAUUAGAUACCCGGGUAGUCCAGGGUGUAACGAUGUGGGCUUCGCAUUGGANGUCCAAUGAGGGCGUCCAGUGCGGGAACGAAGGCGUUANCCCCCCGCCUGGGAAGUACGGUCGCANGCUGAAACUCANCCUUU